GAUGAACGCUGGCGGCGUGCCUAAUACAUGCAAGUCGAGCGAACAGACGAGGAGCUUGCUCCUCUGACGUUAGCGGCGGACGGGUGAGUAACACGUGGAUAACCUACCUAUAAGACUGGGAUAACUUCGGGAAACCGGAGCUAAUACCGGAUAACAUGUUGAACCGCAUGGUUCAACAGUGAAAGACGGUCUUGCUGUCACUUAUAGAUGGAUCCGCGCCGCAUUAGCUAGUUGGUAAGGUAACGGCUUACCAAGGCAACGAUGCGUAGCCGACCUGAGAGGGUGAUCGGCCACACUGGAACUGAGACACGGUCCAGACUCGUACGGGAGGCAGCAGUAGGGAAUCUUCCGCAAUGGGCGAAAGCCUGACGGAGCAACGCCGCGUGAGUGAAGAAGGUCUUCGGAUCGUAAAACUCUGUUAUUAGGGAAGAACAAAUGUGUAAGUAACUAUGCACGUCUUGACGGUACCUAAUCAGAAAGCCACGGCUAACGACG
RNAcentral lists this ribosomal RNA (495 nucleotides) under uncultured bacterium. RNAcentral describes it as "partial 16S ribosomal RNA". It matches the Rfam family "Bacterial small subunit ribosomal RNA", at positions 28 to 505 of the family's 1533-position model. The record is from RNAcentral.